This 464-nucleotide ribosomal RNA is filed under the name uncultured bacterium. RNAcentral's name for it is "partial 16S ribosomal RNA". It matches the Rfam family "Bacterial small subunit ribosomal RNA", at positions 29 to 507 of the family's 1533-position model. The record is from RNAcentral.
ACGAACGCUGGCGGCGUGCUUAACACAUGCCAGUCGAACGGAAAGGCCCCUUUGGGGGUACUCGAGUGGCGAACGGGUGAGUAACACGUGAGUAACCUGCCCUUGACUUCGGGAUAACUUCAGGAAACUGGGGCUAAUACCGGAUAGGAAUCCUUGCUGCAUGGUGGGGGUUGGAAAGCUUCGGCGGUUUUGGAUGGACUCGCGGCUUAUCAGCUUGUUGGUGGGGUAGUGGCUUACCAAGGCUUUGACGGGUAGCCGGCCUGAGAGGGCGACCGGCCACAUUGGGACUGAGAUACGGCCCAGACUCCUACGGGAGGCAGCAGUGGGGAAUAUUGCACAAUGGGCGGAAGCCUGAUGCAGCAACGCCGCGUGCGGGAGGACGGCCUUCGGGUUGGAAACCGCUUUCAGCAGGGGCGAAGCUUGUGGUGACGGUACCUGCAGAAGAAGCACCGGCUAACUACGUG